Molecule: long non-coding RNA, 268 nt
Filed under: Solanum tuberosum (potato)
Lineage: Eukaryota; Viridiplantae; Streptophyta; Magnoliopsida; Solanales; Solanaceae
Description: long non-coding RNA (STUB_LNC004603)
Source: RNAcentral
UGUUGUCAAACCAAAAGUUUCAACAAAAUAAGUAUCUAAGGGAAACUAUAGUCCAGAUCAUGAAAGAAAAUCUAAAAUCAAACCGAGUCAUUUCAUGCUCAAAUUAUAAGUCGAAGGCUUCCACAACAUAUAAAGAAAAGAGGUUUACAAGCUUUUGAAUUCAACUUAGUCACGUUUUAAUUGAACUGAACAAAGUUGAUUAACAAAGAUAUGAUAUUCACUUAAUAGCACGGGUUAAAGGAAAAAGGGAGGAUGGAAGAUCAUUGCC